Molecule: ribosomal RNA, 468 nt
Filed under: uncultured bacterium
Lineage: Bacteria
Description: partial 16S ribosomal RNA
Rfam family: Bacterial small subunit ribosomal RNA
Source: RNAcentral
GACGAACGCUGGCGGCGUGCUUAACACAUGCAAGUCGAACGGAAAGGCCCUGCUUUUGUGGGGUGCUCGAGUGGCGAACGGGUGAGUAACACGUGAGUAACCUGCCCUUGACUUUGGGAUAACUUCAGGAAACUGGGGCUAAUACCGGAUAGGAGCUCCUGCUGCAUGGUGGGGGUUGGAAAGUUUCGGCGGUUGGGGAUGGACUCGCGGCUUAUCAGCUUGUUGGUGGGGUAGUGGCUUACCAAGGCUUUGACGGGUAGCCGGCGUGAGCGGGUGACCGGCCACAUUGGGACUGGGAUACGGCCCAGACUCCUACGGGAGGCAGCAGUGGGGAAUAUUGCACAAUGGGCGGAAGCCUGAUGCAGCAACGCCGCGUGCGGGAUGACGGCCUUCGGGUUGUAAACCGCUUUCGCCUGUGACGAAGCGUGAGUGACGGUAAUGGGUAAAGAAGCACCGGCUAACUACGUG